Molecule: long non-coding RNA, 1398 nt
Organism: Solanum pennellii
Lineage: Eukaryota; Viridiplantae; Streptophyta; Magnoliopsida; Solanales; Solanaceae
Exons: 3
Source: RefSeq, a predicted model, not a curated record
UGUCCCUUAUACUGCUGCUUAGAGCUUUGUGGUAUUCCACCUUCCUCCCCCAUUUGUUGUGGGUCAUCAAUCCCUUUCUCUUCUUCUUCCUAGUAUCAUCCUUGCUUAGCUUGCAGCGGUAUGUUUUUGUCUUUUGUUCUUCAUUUAUUUCCCUCAAUUUUUUACUUCCUCCAUUUCAAUGAUGGAGACUUAAUCCGGUGAUGUAGUGGUUGCCUAAGAUAGUUCUUGUAGAGGUGCCUGUCUUGUGGUCUGGCUCUUAAUUCCUUGAGAGAGAUGAUUUGGUUGGAUAUGUUCCUCCAGUAAGACCUGAUGCUGCAUUUUCUAUAUGGAAUCUAAAAAAGAGUUGGUCGUUGAUUCUUCAGGAGAGAGAUGAUUUGGUUGGAUAUGUUCCUCCAGUGAAACUUGAUGCUGCAUUUUCUAUGUGGAAUCCAAAAAAGAGUUGGUCGUUGAUUCUUCAGGUUUUUCCUUUCUGAUGACAUUCUAUAAAGUGACUCAUUUUUUUAUAACUAAAGAAGUAACAGUGAGUUUUGAAUAAUUGAAAAGAAAUCUUCAGUUGUUUAUGAAUAUUUAGCCAAAUUGCUUCUUGUUUCAAAUCUUCUGAAACUCCCCCAUUUUCAUAAUAUAUACUACUUUUAAUAUCAUGUAAUAAUUAAAUUGUGUUCCUCUAUGUUUUCAUUCUGCUUUAUUUCUCUAGGGUGUAUUCUCAAAUUAGGUAUUAGCGGUUUUUCUAAGUUAAUAAUCUUCCUUUCGUUGCUUGGAAGUUUACGGAAGCUUGAAAAAAUCAUUGUUGUCCAACCCUUUCAAAGGCUACAUUAGUAAUUUAAUUUGCUAAUGAAUUUCCUUUCUGAAAACAUGUUGAAGUCUCACUUGACAUAACUAAGCUAGAUACUUAAUGUGUCUUAUUAUAGUUGAAAUCUGCCACAGAAUCUCCCAAAUUUAAAAAAGAACUCGAAUAAUGUCUAAAGAAUCAAUAUUAAAAAUCAUCUUAUUGAGGCUCAUAGAAACACAAUGAUAAAUGAUCUUUUUGAUUGCAAUUGCUUCUUCCUCAAUAUCUGUUGUCUCAUGAAUUUCCUCCCUUUGAGCAUAUAUAAGAUCCCCUCUAUGAUUACUUGAAAAAUAACCAUAGUAACUCUUGUUCGGAUUGUCUUACAUUUAAACACUUGACAUCAUGUGGUUUUCAUGGCUAGUUGGUAGGUACUCAAUUCAUAAGAUAAAUGAUUUUUACUAGUCUUUAGAUACAUGGGCUCACCUUAAACAAGACUAUUGUAUGACGAUUUCUUCCCAUUCUUAAGAUUAUUUAUCAUUUUUUUAUAAAUAUCACACGAACCGGGAUGGGUAGUGUGGCCACGGUUGACACCGGUAACUCCCUUUUUAGCCUUGAUCCAUGUCUUCCUCUUG